GAUGAACGCUGGCGGCGUGCCUAACACAUGCAAGUCGAGCGAACAGACGAGGAGCUUGCUCCUCUGACGUUAGCGGCGGACGGGUGAGUAACACGUGGAUAACCUACCUAUAAGACUGGGAUAACUUCGGGAAACCGGAGCUAAUACCGGAUAAUAUAUUGAACCGCAUGGUUCAAUAGUGAAAGACGGUUUUGCUGUCACUUAUAGAUGGAUCCGCGCCGCAUUAGCUAGUUGGUAAGGUAACGGCUUACCAAGGCAACGAUGCGUAGCCGACCUGAGAGGGUGAUCGGCCACACUGGAACUGAGACACGGUCCAGACUCCUACGGGAGGCAGCAGUAGGGAAUCUUCCGCAAUGGGCGAAAGCUUGACGGAGCAACGCCGCGUGAGUGAUGAAGGUCUUCGGAUCGUAAAACUCUGUUAUUAGGGAAGAACAAAUGUGUAAGUAACUAUGCACGUCGUGACGGUACCUGAUGAGAAAGCCCCGGCUAACUACGUG
RNAcentral lists this ribosomal RNA (497 nucleotides) under uncultured bacterium. RNAcentral's name for it is "partial 16S ribosomal RNA". It matches the Rfam family "Bacterial small subunit ribosomal RNA", at positions 28 to 507 of the family's 1533-position model. The record is from RNAcentral.